Molecule: ribosomal RNA, 498 nt
Filed under: Staphylococcus aureus
Lineage: Bacteria; Bacillati; Bacillota; Bacilli; Caryophanales; Staphylococcaceae
Description: partial 23S ribosomal RNA
Rfam family: Bacterial large subunit ribosomal RNA
Source: RNAcentral
GGUGAAAAGCACCCCGGAAGGGGAGUGAAAUAGAACCUGAAACCGUGUGCUUACAAGUAGUCAGAGCCCGUUAAUGGGUGAUGGCGUGCCUUUUGUAGAAUGAACCGGCGAGUUACGAUUUGAUGCAAGGUUAAGCAGUAAAUGUGGAGCCGUAGCGAAAGCGAGUCUGAAUAGGGCGUUUAGUAUUUGGUCGUAGACCCGAAACCAGGUGAUCUACCCUUGGUCAGGUUGAAGUUCAGGUAACACUGAAUGGAGGACCGAACCGACUUACGUUGAAAAGUGAGCGGAUGAACUGAGGGUAGCGGAGAAAUUCCAAUCGAACCUGGAGAUAGCUGGUUCUCUCCGAAAUAGCUUUAGGGCUAGCCUCAAGUGAUGAUUAUUGGAGGUAGAGCACUGUUUGGACGAGGGGCCCCUCUCGGGUUACCGAAUUCAGACAAACUCCGAAUGCCAAUUAAUUUAACUUGGGAGUCAGAACAUGGGUGAUAAGGUCCGUGUUCG